UACGAAGGGGGCUAGCGUUGCUCGGAAUCACUGGGCGUAAAGCGCACGUAGGCGGCUUUUUAAGUCAGGGGUGAAAUCCUGGAGCUCAACUCCAGAACUGCCUUUGAUACUGAGAAGCUCGAGUCCGGGAGAGGUGAGUGGAACUGCGAGUGUAGAGGUGAAAUUCGUAGAUAUUCGCAAGAACACCAGUGGCGAAGGCGGCUCACUGGCCCGGUACUGACGCUGAGACGCGAAAGCGUGGGGAGCGAACAGG
This 253-nucleotide ribosomal RNA is filed under the name uncultured bacterium. RNAcentral's name for it is "partial 16S ribosomal RNA". It matches the Rfam family "Bacterial small subunit ribosomal RNA", at positions 524 to 776 of the family's 1533-position model. The record is from RNAcentral.